This 211-nucleotide ribosomal RNA is filed under the name uncultured bacterium. Its description in RNAcentral is "partial 16S ribosomal RNA". It matches the Rfam family "Bacterial small subunit ribosomal RNA", at positions 1290 to 1500 of the family's 1533-position model. The record is from RNAcentral.
AGUUCAGAUUGCAGGCUGAAACUCGCCUGCAUGAAGUCGGAAUUGCUAGUAAUCGCAGAUCAGCAUGCUGCGGUGAAUACGUUCCCGGGCCUUGUACACACCGCCCGUCACACCAUGGGAGUCGGUAACACCCGAAGCCUGUAGUCUAACCGCAAGGAGGACGCAGUCGAAGGUGGGAUUGAUGACUGGGGUGAAGUCGUAACAAGGUAUC